GGUUCCAUAGUGUAGUGGUUAUCACGUCUGCUUUACGCGCAGAAGGUCCUGGGUUCGAUCCCCAGUGGAACCA
Molecule: transfer RNA, 73 nt
Filed under: Erinaceus europaeus (western European hedgehog)
Lineage: Eukaryota; Metazoa; Chordata; Mammalia; Eulipotyphla; Erinaceidae
Description: tRNA-Val (TAC) (tRNA-Val-TAC-1-1)
Rfam family: tRNA
About the family: Transfer RNA (tRNA) molecules are approximately 80 nucleotides in length.
Source: Rfam by way of RNAcentral